UACGAAGGGGGGCUAGCGUUGCUCGGAAUCACUGGGCGUAAAGGGUGCGUAGGCGGGUCUUUAAGUCAGGGGUGAAAUCCUGGAGCUCAACUCCAGAACUGCCUUUGAUACUGAGGAUCUUGAGUACGGGAGAGGUGAGUGGAACUGCGAGUGUAGAGGUGAAAUUCGUAGAUAUUCGCAAGAACACCAGUGGCGAAGGCGGCUCACUGGCCCGUUACUGACGCUGAGGCACGAAAGCGUGGGGAGCAAACAGG
This 254-nucleotide ribosomal RNA is filed under the name uncultured bacterium. Its description in RNAcentral is "partial 16S ribosomal RNA". It matches the Rfam family "Bacterial small subunit ribosomal RNA", at positions 524 to 776 of the family's 1533-position model. The record is from RNAcentral.